AGCUUUUAAAUAUAGACCUAAGCAUAUAAUCAAUAAAAGUUUUGGACUGCACACUAUAUAUAUUGCUGAAAACGGUGCUUUCAUUGUUAAUAAGUCAAUCAAAGAAAAUUUGUGCUUAAUGAUUACAGCUAUUGAAAUGGCUGGAUACAAUGGAAAAGUUGUAAUAAGAAUCAAUAUUGCAGCAUCUGAUUUCUAUGUUAAUGAAAAAUACGAAGUCAUGCAAUAAUGUCAAAGUCAAAUCACUUCAACUGAAAAUGUAAUAAACUUUUGUCAAGAACUCAUUGAAAAAUGUCCAAUAGUUCUGAUAGAAGAUCUAUUUCACCAGGACCAUUAGAUACAUGCUUACAGAAGUUACUAGCAUUCAGACCAAGGAUAUUUGACUUAAACAUAAUGGUGCAAAAGCAAACAUGAUCCUCCCAAAGAGACUGGACAAAGUACACCUUAAGCGCCGCAUCAAGAAUACUACAGAAAUUGAAUUGGUAUCUUGUAUUUAAUUUAUUAAUACCCUAAAAUUAUAUUUUAAAAUCUACAAUGUCAAAGA
RNAcentral lists this long non-coding RNA (541 nucleotides) under Rhopalosiphum maidis (corn leaf aphid). RNAcentral's name for it is "uncharacterized LOC113559083". The record is from RNAcentral. Lineage: Eukaryota; Metazoa; Arthropoda; Insecta; Hemiptera; Aphididae.